Molecule: ribosomal RNA, 466 nt
Filed under: uncultured bacterium
Lineage: Bacteria
Description: bacterial SSU rRNA
Rfam family: Bacterial small subunit ribosomal RNA
Source: RNAcentral
GGGCCCGCACAAGCGGCGGAGCAUGCGGAUUAAUUCGAUGCAACGCGAAGAACCUUACCAAGGCUUGACAUACACGAGAACGGGCCAGAAAUGGUCAACUCUUUGGACACUCGUGAACAGGUGGUGCAUGGUUGUCGUCAGCUCGUGUCGUGAGAUGUUGGGUUAAGUCCCGCAACGAGCGCAACCCUCGUUCUAUGUUGCCAGCACGUCAUGGUGGGAACUCAUAGGAGACUGCCGGGGUCAACUCGGAGGAAGGUGGGGAUGACGUCAAAUCAUCAUGCCCCUUAUGUCUUGGGCUUCACGCAUGCUACAAUGGCCGAUACAAAGGGCUGCAAUACCGUAAGGUGGAGCGAAUCCCAAAAAGUCGGUCUCAGUUCGGAUUGAGGUCUGCAACUCGACCUCAUGAAGUCGGAGUCGCUAGUAAUCGCAGAUCAGCAACGCUGCGGUGAAUACGUUCCCGGGCCUU